AUGCGAGUCGAGGGCGUAGAAGUCUUCGGACUUUGAGACCGGCGCACGGGUGCGUAACGCGUAUGCAAUCUACCUUUUACAGAGGGAUAGCCCAGAGAAAUUUGGAUUAAUACCUCAUAGUAUUAUGAAAUGGCAUCAUUUUAUAAUUAAAGUCACAACGGUAAAAGAUGAGCAUGCGUCCCAUUAGCUAGUUGGUAAGGUAACGGCUUACCAAGGCUACGAUGGGUAGGGGUCCUGAGAGGGAGAUCCCCCACACUGGUACUGAGACACGGACCAGACUCCUACGGGAGGCAGCAGUGAGGAAUAUUGGACAAUGGGCGCAAGCCUGAUCCAGCCAUGCCGCGUGCAGGAUGACGGUCCUAUGGAUUGUAAACUGCUUUUAUACGAGAAGAAACACUCCUUCGUGAAGGAGCUUGACGGUAUCGUAAGAAUAAGGAUCGGCUAACUCCGUGCCAGCCGCCGCGGUAA
Molecule: ribosomal RNA, 468 nt
Filed under: Flavobacterium sp. 5A-1
Lineage: Bacteria; Pseudomonadati; Bacteroidota; Flavobacteriia; Flavobacteriales; Flavobacteriaceae
Description: bacterial SSU rRNA
Rfam family: Bacterial small subunit ribosomal RNA
Source: RNAcentral